AGAGUUUGAUCCUGGCUCAGGAUGAACGCUGGCGGCGUGCCUAACACAUGCAAGUCGAACGGACUUUUCAUGAAGCCUAGCGAUUGAAAAGUUAGUGGCGGACGGGUGAGUAACGCGUGGGUAACCUGCCUUGUACUGGGGGACAACAGUUGGAAACGACUGCUAAUACCGCAUAAGCGCACAGCUUCGCAUGAAGCAGUGUGAAAAACUCCGGUGGUACAAGAUGGACCCGCGUCUGAUUAGCUGGUUGGUGAGGUAACGGCCACCAAGGCGACGAUCAGUAGCCGGCCUGAGAGGGUGAACGGCCAACAUUGGGACUGGAGACACGGCCCAAACUCCGUACGGGAGGCA
Molecule: ribosomal RNA, 351 nt
Filed under: uncultured bacterium
Lineage: Bacteria
Description: bacterial SSU rRNA
Rfam family: Bacterial small subunit ribosomal RNA
Source: RNAcentral